AACGAACGCUGGCGGCAUGCCUAACACAUGCAAGUCGAACGAGACCUUCGGGUCUAGUGGCGCACGGGUGCGUAACGCGUGGGAACCUGCCUUUAGGUUCGGAAUAACUCAGAGAAAUUUGAGCUAAUACCGGAUAAUGUCUUCGGACCAAAGAUUUAUCGCCUUUAGAUGGGCCCGCGUUGGAUUAGCUAGUUGGUGGGGUAAAGGCCUACCAAGGCGACGAUCCAUAGCUGGUCUGAGAGGAUGAUCAGCCACACUGGGACUGAGACACGGCCCAGACUCCUACGGGAGGCAGCAGUGGGGGAAUAAUUGGACAAUGGGCGAAAGCCUGAUCCAGCAAUGCCGCGUGAGUGAUGAAGG
This 360-nucleotide ribosomal RNA is filed under the name uncultured bacterium. Its description in RNAcentral is "bacterial SSU rRNA". It matches the Rfam family "Bacterial small subunit ribosomal RNA", at positions 29 to 414 of the family's 1533-position model. The record is from RNAcentral.